This 468-nucleotide ribosomal RNA is filed under the name uncultured bacterium. Its description in RNAcentral is "partial 16S ribosomal RNA". It matches the Rfam family "Bacterial small subunit ribosomal RNA", at positions 28 to 507 of the family's 1533-position model. The record is from RNAcentral.
GACGAACGCUGGCGGCGUGCUUAACACAUGCAAGUCGAACGGAAAGGCCCUGCUUUUGUGGGGUGCUCGAGUGGCGAACGGGUGAGUAACACGUGAGUAACCUGCCCUUGACUUUGGGAUAACUUCAGGAGACUGGGGCUAAUACCGGAUAGGAGCUUCUGCUGCAUGGUGGGGGUUGGAAAGUUUCGGCGGUUGGGGAUGGACGCGCGGCUUAUCAGCUUGUUGGUGGGGUAGUGGCUUACCAAGGCUUUGACGGGUAGCCGGCCUGAGAGGGUGACCGGCCACAUUGGGACUGAGAUACGGCCCAGACUCCUACGGGAGGCAGCAGUGGGGAAUAGUGCACAAUGGGCGGAAGCCUGAUGCAGCAACGCCGCGUGCGGGAUGACGGCCUUCGGGUUGUAAACCGCUUUCGCCUGUGACGAAGCGUGAGUGACGGUAAUGGGUAAAGAAGCACCGGCUAACUACGUG